Molecule: ribosomal RNA, 174 nt
Filed under: Lichtheimia ramosa
Lineage: Eukaryota; Fungi; Mucoromycota; Mucoromycetes; Mucorales; Lichtheimiaceae
Description: partial 28S ribosomal RNA
Source: RNAcentral
UUUAGUCCUCUGCCGGAUGUAGACUCUAGAGUGCCUGAGGAGCAACGGCUUGGUUAGUGAGUUCGUAAUCCCAAGUCAAUCAGUCUCUUCUUGAACUAGGUCUUAAUCUUAUGGACUAGCGAGAGGAUCUACCUUGGUCUUCUCAUAAGCAAACUCACAUCUAGAUCUAAAUCA